UACGUAGGGGGCGAGCGUUGUCCGGAAUCAUUGGGCGUAAAGCGCGUGUAGGCGGUUCGGUAAGUCUGCUGUGAAAGUCAAAGGCUCAACCUUUGAAUGUCAGCGGAUACUGCCGGGCUAGAGUCCGGAAGAGGCGAGUGGAACUCCUGGUGUAGCGGUGAAAUGCGUAGAUAUCGGGAGGAACACCUGUGGCGAAAGCGGCGCACUGGACCACAUCUGACGCUGAGGCGCGAAAGCUAGGGGAGCAAACAGG
This 253-nucleotide ribosomal RNA is filed under the name uncultured bacterium. Its description in RNAcentral is "partial 16S ribosomal RNA". It matches the Rfam family "Bacterial small subunit ribosomal RNA", at positions 524 to 776 of the family's 1533-position model. The record is from RNAcentral.